GACGAACGCUGGCGGCGUGCUUAACACAUGCAAGUCGAACGGAAAGGCCCUGCUUGCGGGGUACUCGCGUGGCGAACGGGUGUGUAAAACGCGGGUGAUCUGCCCUGCACUUCGGGAUAAGCCUUGGAGACUGGGUCGCAUACAGGGUAGGGGCCAUCUUGCUUGUGAUGGGUGGAAAGAUUUUUCGGUUUAGGAUGAGCUCGCGGCCUAUCAGGUUGUUGGUGGGGUAAUGGCCUACCAAGGCGGCGGCGGGUAGCCUGCCUGGGGGGGUGGACGGCCACAAUGGGACUUGGAUACGGGCCAGACCCCUACGGGAGGCAGGAGGUGGGAAUAUUGCAAAAUGGGGGCAAGCCUGAUGCAGCGAAGCCGCGGUGGGGAUGACGGGCUUCGGGUUGGAAACCCCUUUCGCUAGGGACGAAGCUGUGUGUGACGGUACCUAGAAAAGAAGCACCGGCUAACUACGUG
This 465-nucleotide ribosomal RNA is filed under the name uncultured bacterium. Its description in RNAcentral is "partial 16S ribosomal RNA". It matches the Rfam family "Bacterial small subunit ribosomal RNA", at positions 28 to 507 of the family's 1533-position model. The record is from RNAcentral.